UGGGGGAUAUUGCGCAAUGGGGGAAACCCUGACGCAGCAACGCCGCGUGAAGGAAGAAGGUCUUCGGAUUGUAAACUUUUGUCUUUUGGGAAGAAUAAUGACGGUACCAAAGGAGGAAGCCACGGCUAACUACGUGCCAGCAGCCGCGGUAAUACGUAGGUGGCGAGCGUUGUCCGGAAUUACUGGGUGUAAAGGGCGUGUAGGCGGGUAAUCAAGUCAGAUGUGAAAUACCGAGGCUCAACCUCGGGGCUGCAUUUGAAACUGAUUAUCUUGAGUGCAGGAGAGGCAAGCGGAAUUCCUAGUGUAGCGGUGAAAUGCGUAGAUAUUAGGAGGAACACCAGUGGCGAAGGCGGCUUUCUGGACUGUAACUGACGCUGAGGCGCGAAAGCGUGGGGAGCAAACAGG
RNAcentral lists this ribosomal RNA (405 nucleotides) under uncultured prokaryote. RNAcentral's name for it is "bacterial SSU rRNA". It matches the Rfam family "Bacterial small subunit ribosomal RNA", at positions 355 to 776 of the family's 1533-position model. The record is from RNAcentral. RNAcentral also lists the same sequence under 1 other name.